RNAcentral lists this long non-coding RNA (2098 nucleotides) under Onthophagus taurus. RNAcentral's name for it is "uncharacterized LOC111421587". Lineage: Eukaryota; Metazoa; Arthropoda; Insecta; Coleoptera; Scarabaeidae. The record is from RNAcentral.
UGUUAUUUAUUGUUAUUAUUAAUGUUAAAAAUGGAAGUAAAAAUGAUGGUGUUUAAAUUAUUGCUAAUAAUUUCCAUUGUGAUUACUGUUGGGACUUCAGAAAAGCGGUAUCGAGUUUGUGGAUACGCAUUGGCUGAACUAGUGGCGAAUGUUUGUGACAAGUAUCAUCCGCAAAAGAGAAGUAUUUAUGACCACAAUUUCAUGGAAAAUAUGAAUUCAGAAAAUAAAUAUAAUUCUCUGAUUCGUCACCGUAGACAAGGUAUUGCGGAUACGUGUUGUUACAAUGAAUGUACCCUACAAGAUAUUCAGGAGUAUUGCAAGUGAAAUUGAUUUGUGUUAACAUAUUAUUAUAAGAUUAACCUAAAAAAGGCGUAUCUCCGUGAUUAAUAAAAGUAAAGAUGCAAAAUUUGGUGGAUUUAUUCAGAAUUAAAUACUGAAUUUAAUGCAUCAACCCGUUUGUUAAAGUCUUUAUUAGUUCUUGAGAAAUAAAAUCUCAAAGAUUAUUAAAAAACUUGAUUUGAGUUGACGUAUAAGUAUAAAUUUAAAACUUUGUAUCUUAGAGAUUAAUGAAAGUGAAGAUACUAAAUUAUACAUAUUUAUUUAGAAUUACAUGGUGAAUUUAAUGCAUCAACCCGUUUGUUGGUAUCUCAAUUUGUUCUUGAGAAAUAACUCCCAAAAGAUGAUCGAAAAAAUUGAUUUGUGUUAACGUAUUAUUACAAGAUUAACCUAAAAAAUGCGUAUCUGCGUGAUUAAUAAAGGUGAAGAUGCAAAAUUUGGUGGAUUUAUUCAGAAUUAAAUAGUGAAUUUAAUGCAUCAACCCGUUUGUUAAAGUAUUUAUUAGUUCUUGAGAAAUAAAAUCCCAAAGAUUAUUAAAAAACUUGAUUUGAGUUGACGUAUAAGUAUAAAUUUAAAACUUUGUAUCUUAGAGAUUAAUAAAAGUGAAGAUACCAAAUUAUACUUAUUUAUUUAGAAUUACAUGGUGAAUUUAAUGCAUCAACCCGUUUUUUGUUGUCUCAAUUUGUUCUUGAGAAAUAAAUUCCAAAAGAUGAUCGAAAAAAUUGAUUUGUCUUAACGAAUUAUUACAAGAUUAACCUAAAAAAUGCGUAUCUGCGUGAUUAAUAAAAGUGAAGAUGCAAAAUUUGGUACAUUUAUUCAGAAUUAAAUAGUGAAUUUAAUGCAUCAAUCCGUUUGUUAAAGUCUCUAUUAGUUCUUGAGAAAUAAAAUCCCAAAGAUUAUUAAAAAACUUGAUUUGAGUUGACGUAUAAGUAUAAAUUUAAAACUUUGUAUCUUAGAGAUUAAUAAAAGUGAAGAUACCAAAUUAUACAUAUUUAUUUAGAAUUACAUGGUGAAUUUAAUGCAUCAACCCGUUUGUUGCUAUCUCAAUUUGUUCUUGAGAAAUAAAUUCCAAAAGAUGAUCGAAAAAAUUGAUUUGUGUUAACGUAUUAUUACAAGAUUAACCUAAAAAAUGCGUAUCUCCGUGAUUAAUAAAAGUGAAGAUGCAAAAUUUGGUGGAUUUAUUCAGAAUUAAAUAGUGAAUUUAAUGCAUCAACCCGUUUGUUAAAGUCUUUAUUAGUUCUUGAGAAAUAAAAUCUCAAAGAUUAUUAAAAAACUUGAUUUGAGUUGACGUAUAAGUAUAAAUUUAAAACUUUGUAUCUUAGAGAUUAAUAAAAGUGAAGAUACCAAAUUAUACAUAUUUAUUUAGAAUUACAUGGUGAAUUUAAUGCAUCAACCCGUUUGUUGCUAUCUCAAUUUGUUCUUGAGAAAUAAAUUCCAAAAGAUGAUCGAAAAAAUUGAUUUGUGUUAACGUAUUAUUACAAGAUUAACCUAAAAAAUGCGUAUCUCCGUGAUUAAUAAAAGUGAAGAUGCAAAAUUUGGUGGAUUUAUUCAGAAUUAAAUAGUGAAUUUAAUGCAUCAACCCGUUUGUUAAAGUCUUUAUUAGUUCUUGAGAAAUAAAAUCCCAAAGAUUAUUAAAAAACUUGAUUUGAGUUGACGUAUAAGUAUAAAUUUAAAACUUUGUAUCUUAGAGAUUAAUAAAAGUGAAGAUACCAAAUUAUACAAAUUUAUUUAGAAUUACAUGGUGAAUUUAAUGCAUCAACCC